This 764-nucleotide ribosomal RNA is filed under the name uncultured bacterium. Its description in RNAcentral is "bacterial SSU rRNA". It matches the Rfam family "Bacterial small subunit ribosomal RNA", at positions 61 to 832 of the family's 1533-position model. The record is from RNAcentral.
GAAGCGCAUAAGUUUGAUUCUUCGGAUGAAGAUUUAUGCGACUGACCUUCGGACGGGUGUAUAACGCGUGGGUAACCUGCCUUACACAGGGGGAUAACAGUUAGAAAUGACUGCUAAUACCGCAUAAGACCCCGGUACCGCAUGGUACAGAGGUAAAAACUGAGGUGGUGUAAGAUGGACCCGCGUCUGAUUAGGUAGUUGGUGAGGUAACGGCUCACCAAGCCGACGAUCAGUAGCCGGCCUGAGAGGGUGGACGGCCACAUUGGGACUGAGACACGGCCCAGACUCCUACGGGAGGCAGCAGUGGGGAAUAUUGCACAAUGGGGGAAACCCUGAUGCAGCGACGCCGCGUGAGCGAUGAAGUAUUUCGGUAUGUAAAGCUCUAUCAGCAGGGAAGAAAAUGACGGUACCUGACUAAGAAGCCCCGGCUAACUACGUGCCAGCAGCCGCGGUAAUACGUAGGGGGCAAGCGUUAUCCGGAUUUACUGGGUGUAAAGGGAGCGUAGACGGCAUGGCAAGCCAGAUGUGAAAUACCGGGGCUCAACCCCGGGACUGCAUUUGGAACUGUUAAGCUGGAGUGUCGGAGAGGCAGGCGGAAUUCCUAGUGUAGCGGUGAAAUGCGUAGAUAUUAGGAGGAACACCAGUGGCGAAGGCGGCCUGCUGGACGAUAACUGACGUUGAGGCUCGAAAGCGCGGGGAGCAAACAGGAUUAGAUACCCUGGUAGUCCACGCCGUAAACGAUGACUACUAGGUGUCGGGGAGCA